GACAAAGAAAUCUAGACAGAAAAAUUUCCUAAAUAGGACAAGAUGGUUGCAUGGCAAUGCUCUAAAAUGCAGCAUGCAAUAGAUUGCCAGAACGCAGGAAAUCAUAAUUUGAGAAUACCACAUAAAAGCCAAAGUACUUCUUUAUUCCACGUGUGCACAUGAAAGAGCUGCUUAUUUUGAGGAUUUAAGUUAAUAACUUAUCCUGCCCAAGAAGAUUAGCACGUGGCCAUAAAAAACCUGCUUGCUGUCAGCUUUCACCCCAACAUGGUCACAGAAAUAUUCCAGCUAGCCCAAGCUCUAUUACUCCAGCAUAGCAGCAUCCCUUCUCAUUUUGUGUGGCUACUGUUGCUCCAACUUUGCUCCAAGAUCUCCUACAUAUUUUUCAACUAUUAAAUGAUGCAUCUGACUUGGCUGCAUUGUUGUGGAAUAUCCAAGUAACCUUACUGUGUUCAAAUCCUAAACAGUGCCACAUCCU
This is a non-coding RNA of Zonotrichia albicollis (white-throated sparrow), 475 nucleotides long. Lineage: Eukaryota; Metazoa; Chordata; Aves; Passeriformes; Passerellidae. The record is from RefSeq and is a predicted model, not a curated record.